GACGAACGCUGGCGGCGUGCUUAACACAUGCAAGUCGAACGGAAAGGCCCUGCUUUUGUGGGGUGCUCGAGUGGCGAACGGGUGAGUAACACGGGAGUAACCUGCCCUGGACUUUGGGAUACUUCAGGAAACUGGGGCUAAUACCGGAUAGGAGCUGCGGCUGCAUGGGGGGGGGUGGGAAGUUUCGGCGGUUGGGGAUGGACUCGCGGCUUAGCAGCUUGUUGGGGGGGUAGUGGCUUACCAAGGCGUUGAGGGGUAGCCGGCCUGAGAGGGUGACCGGCCACAUUGGGACUGAGAUACGGCCCAGACUCCUACGGGAGGCAGCAGUGGGGAAUAUUGCACAAUGGGCGGAAGCCUGAUGCAGCAACGCCGCGUGCGGGAUGACGGCCUUCGGGUUGUAAAACGCUUUCGCCUGUGACGAAGCGUGAGUGACGGUAAUGGGUAAAGAAGCACCGGCUAACUACGUG
Molecule: ribosomal RNA, 467 nt
Filed under: uncultured bacterium
Lineage: Bacteria
Description: partial 16S ribosomal RNA
Rfam family: Bacterial small subunit ribosomal RNA
Source: RNAcentral